Hippocampus zosterae (dwarf seahorse) is the source of this 359-nucleotide long non-coding RNA. RefSeq lists it as uncharacterized. The transcript is spliced from 2 exons. The record is from RefSeq and is a predicted model, not a curated record. Lineage: Eukaryota; Metazoa; Chordata; Actinopteri; Syngnathiformes; Syngnathidae.
GUCCGUGCCGCUAUUUACUCUCAUGGGAUCCAAAACGGCGACAUGUGACUCUAUUGGUGUCAUGAUACGGUUUGGGACCAACAGGUGGCACUGUAGGGCUCCACCUGCAUCUGCAAACCUGUUGGUCAUUAGCUAGUUAGUGUAUAAAAGGACUCCUGCCCGAACACUCAGUGUCGGGUCAUUGGUUGCUGUUUCCUCCUGUCAUGUUCGUUUGUUUGCUGUUCCUUUGCUACUGUCAGGUUUGUUUUGGUCACGGUUCUGUUUUAGCUUCAGUUGCUAUUUUUGUUUGCUACUUUGGACUAUGAUUGUUUUUGGAUUUUGUUAUCUCUGUGUUUUAUCAAUACACUUCUUCAAGUACA